CCUACUGAAGAUUCAAAAGGCGAGCACUUAAAUGAGAAAGGUGACCGAAGGGUUCACACUAGAAAGUGCUUAUAAAGGUGUCAACAGGUGUGCGGAGCCGGAGCUCACCUAUGGGAAAGAGCGCCCGUAGGGCCGAGUCUUCGCCCAUCUUCUCCUUUAGAUAACUCAAAGUGUCCGCCUAACUCGUUCAGUCUACUCCACGUAGCAAGGUCAAACUAUUGGCAGGGCUUUUUGUUGUCAAAAAGAAAAUCGCUUACGAGUGCUUUGCUGGGCACUCUCAAACAAGAGCUUCGCUUUUUGCAAAGCCCU
Molecule: long non-coding RNA, 309 nt
Filed under: Amborella trichopoda
Lineage: Eukaryota; Viridiplantae; Streptophyta; Magnoliopsida; Amborellales; Amborellaceae
Description: long non-coding RNA (ATRI_LNC002322)
Source: RNAcentral